UAGCCAACCAAGUAUUAAAGGCGACGCCUGCCCAGUGAAAAAUUAAACGGCCGCGGUAUCCUAACCGUGCAAAGGUAGCACAAUCAUUUGUCUAUUAAUUGUAGACCUGUAUGAAAGGCAAAAUGAGAGCCCAACUGUCUCUUAUAACAAAUCAAUUAAACUGAUCUCCUAGUACAAAAGCUAGAAUACCAACAUAAGACCAGAAGACCCUGUGAAGCUUUAACUAACCUAUUAAACCCAAUAAUAGCUACUUUAGGUUGGGGCGACCUUGGAAUAAAAAAGAACUUCCAACCUAUGACUCUCUCAUAAAUAAGGCAAACAAGCCUAACACUUGACCCAGCACAGCUGAUAAUCGAAACAAGUUACUCCAGGGAUAACAGCGCUAUCUUCUUUAAGAGCCCAUAUCAAAAAGAAGGUUUACGACCUCGAUGUUGGAUCAGGACACCCCAGUAGUGCAACCGCUACUAAAGGUUCGUUUGUUCAACGAUUAAUAGUCCUACGUGAUCUGAGUUCAGACCGGAGCAAUCCAG
Molecule: ribosomal RNA, 530 nt
Filed under: Bothrops leucurus
Lineage: Eukaryota; Metazoa; Chordata; Lepidosauria; Squamata; Viperidae
Description: partial 16S large subunit ribosomal RNA
Rfam family: Bacterial large subunit ribosomal RNA
Source: RNAcentral